CUUACCACCCUUGGGCCUGCUUCCAGACAGCCCAGCUGCAUCCCCUUCCCCCUUCAGACCUAGUUUAAAGCCCUCUCAACAAGUUCUGCCAGUUCACAAGCUAAAAAUCUUCUUCCCUUAACAGAGAGAUGAAGCCCAUCUGGUUCCAACAGGCCAGGUACAGUAAAAGUUGCCCUGUGAUCAAAGAAUCAAAAAUUCUGCCAAUGACACCAACCCUUGAGCAACUUAUUGAUAAUGUGAGCUCUCCUAUUGCUUUCACCAUUUUUCUCAGCCACCAAAGGGACUGAGGAAAAGACAACCUGUAUCCCUGUCCUAUCACCCACUUGUCCCAGUGUCCUAAAGUCCCUUUUAAUUGCCCUGACACUCCUCUUUUCAAUCUCAUCACUGCCAGCCUGGGGUAUCAGCAGUGGGUAAUAAUCAGAGGGCUGAAUCAGCCCAGGCAGUCUCUCAGUAAUAUCCUGUACCCGGGCCCCAGAGAGGCAGCAGACAGACCUCUGUGUGGGGUGGGUCUGGUUGACAUAUGGGGCCUGUGUUCCCAUCAGGAGGGAGUCACCCACUAUGACUACUCUUCUUCUCUUUUUGAUGUUAGAAGUGGUGAUCCGUCUUGCAGAUGAAUCAUAACUGGGAGGCCUGACUCUCUAGAUCCAGGAGCUCAUACCUGUUCUUGAUGGCAUUUGACUAAGGGAUGGGGGUCAGGAGGAGUUUUAUUAAUACUUCCUCGAGCAGGAACCCAUUUCCACUCCCCUUCAUCUACCAAGCAUUCUUGUAUUAUGUGAACUUGGGAGGCAGAGGAGUCCUCUGACCCUUGGUGGGCCUCCCUUAAGGAUGCAAGGGCUGAGCUCCACCAGUCUAUUUCCCUUUCACCUUCCAUUAUACUCCCUAGUGUUUCAGCUUCCUCUCUAAGCUCAGCUACCAGUGAAAGGAGAUCCUUCAGCUGUUCAGACCUCAGGCAAGUUCCCUGUGGAACACCCCCUGAAAUCACUGAUAAGCUCAAACACUCCACACAAGAAUGAGUCUGUACAGACACGUCCUUUUUGGAGGGUUCCAUGUGGUUACACAGAUUUGCACUAACUGGGGUUUUUGAUUGUGUGAAGACCAUUACUAACAGAAACCCUGAAACCGAACAACAGAAACACCAAAAGCAACAUAAAGCAAACCUUUCGAACAGGGGACACUUGGAAACCUGCAACCCUGCCUGCGUGAACUGCUGUACAAACUGCUGCACCACGCCCUCAAAGCUGUGCCACGCCCCUGUUUUCUCACUCCAGGUCACUGCUCUGCCAGAGGCCUCUUUUAAAGCCCCCGCCUCACACAGCAGCUGAGAGAAACUAUGUCAUGUGCCUGCGUGGACUAACGAGCACAACACAACCCACCUGCUGAGCGAUAUUAUGGGGGUGCAUCCCCAUCCUGCCCCUAGGGAGGGAGGUUUAGGAGCUUAGAAAUGCUCCUUGGAUCUCAGCAUUCCAGGUAAGUGAAGGCAAACCUAUUCUCUCUUCACAUGGCAAAGAGAAAAAUGGUUCCCUGGAUCCCCGUAACAUGGACCACAGAAAGACGUUAACCCCAGAUGAAUGGUCUUGUGUCCCCACCUCCACAAGAACCACCAGGACCCCAGUGCAGAGAAGUGCAGGGUGACCAAGGACAGAUGGGAUGCUGCUGGAGCCAAGAGUCUUGUACUGUCCUGUGUUUGAUCUCUUCCCCACCCCAGUCCUGAUCUUCCCCACACCUGUGCACUCCUUUCCUUCCCCACCCUCUCCUCCAUCUUCUCCCUCUUUCCUUCUCGCUCUCCUGUUUCCUGUCACUUUCUAUCUGUCUACUGCACAUUUAUUGUUAAAUAAAUUCCCUGUUAAUGACUUUUGUGGAUGAUUGCUUGGAUUGCUUAUCGUUCUCAAAGAACUGUUGUGGUGGCUGCUCCAAGUGUGGGGACACGAGGCUUGACUCUAUUUUUCUCAGAAGGGUGAUUUAUUAUGUUAUAUAUUAUACUAAAAUACUACAUUAAAACUAUACUAAAAGAACAGAGAGAGAAGAAUGAUCAGAAGGUUACAGAGAACAAGAAUAGAAUAGAAUGCAUAACAAUCCUGUGACUGCUCACAGCCUCGGCACAGGUGGCUGUGACUGGUCAUCAAUUGAAAAUAAUCCACAUGGACCAAUGGAAGAUGCACCUGUUGCAUUCCACAGCAGCAGACAGUUAUUGUUUACAUGUCUUUCCUGAGGCCUUCAGCUCUCAGGAGGGGAAAAAUCCUAGGAAAGGAUUUUCCAUAAAAUACCAUAGCUACAAAGAACCCGUAAUACAGAGACACAGCUUGACCCACAGGGUGAAGACCCUCAGUUCUUUAUUUAUGCAAAUUGAUAAGCAUAAAUCAUAAUAAGUAUAACUUUAGUUAAAUUCCACACCAUGCACCACACAUCUUCCUCAGAUGUGCUUGCAAUCUUCUGUAAUAGCAAUAAAUAGGGAAGGCAAUGAGGGCGCUUUGACCACUGAUAAAUAAAAGGUAAUUUGGGAUUAUGACACUCUCUUUGAAAGGGUUUCCAAUCUUGGUGACAUCUUGUUAAUGACACCUAUUAUCCCACUGAGGGUAAAGACACAGCUUUUCUUUUAACAAUACUCUAUGCCUUAUACCCAAUUAUUGUGCUGAUUAAAUCCCAAUGGAACUGUCCUCUAUCUGUUAGAACAUACAAGUGUGAGCCCCAAAUGGGAGCAAAUGGCCAGCUGCAGAUUUGAUGCCUGACUGGACAGGAACAGCAAGGAUUUAUAUUUCUGAAAAUAAUACUAUUAACAGCUAAGACAUUUGCCUUGACAUUUAAGAAAAUGUCAAUAUUGUGUUGAAACCCCAGCGACUGUACUUGCAUAUAUUGGAAAUUGAUGUAUCUGUAUGAGAACUCUGUGUGAUUCUGUUUACAGAAAACACCACCUGAGAGACGUCUGAUCACUCCAAUAGCUAUAUCUGUAGUUUUAGCAAAAUCAAGGGAUGCAGCUUCAACAAUUCAGCUCCCUCACAACUCACCAAUUACUACAAUCCAGCUGCACACUGUGUCAAGUUUCAUGGCCUGUCACGCUGGAGUGAAUCUGGCACUGGCAAGAAACUGUUGCAAUAUGAUGAUCUGAGUCCAUGCUGAAAUGGACAACAGCACAACAGACAAAGAACCCGCAUUACCACCCAUUGUCAGGCAGAGAAGAUACUCCAUGUCCUGGAAAGAGGGAAGAAAGAUAGAGAACAUUGCUGGUGGGAAACUAUUUUUGGAUGGCCACACAGAGCAACUGGAAUUUUGAAUUUAAUGUUGCAUCCAAUUGUAGUUUUGUUAGCAUUGGCUUUAUUGUGUUCACUGUUUAUAAUCAUCCUGUAUACCCUGUCAGAAGAUAAACCAAAUUAUAUCCAUCCAACAUGUAAACCACCUACAAUGAACUCAGUACAUGAAAUGUUAUACAACUGCACUAUUUCUGACCCAUAAAUCAGAAAACCUCUUAAUUAAUUGUACCCUUACCUCUAAUCUGCAAUAUGCCACAUAUUUAUGACAAAGACACAAGAGAUAACUGUAUUACCAUUCAAGGAGAUGGUAAUGUUUAUUAAAUGUAGGCACAGGGUAAAGGGACUCAAAGCUGGGCACAGGAUAUGAGGUGUGACCUCACCAGUGCCCAGCACAGAGGGACAAUCAGAGCCUUGGUCCUGCUGGCCACACUAUUGCUGACACAGAAUUCCAGGAUGCCCCUGGCAUCUUCUGGAGCACAAUUCCACCCUCCUCCACCCUCCCAACGAAACAAAGAAUGGAGAUUUUCCUUGGCCCUCCUUUGUCAUUAAUAUUUUCUAAAAAAACACAUUUUCUAUAAUCGUCCAUACUAGCCACCAGAUUAAAUUUAAAUGGAGCUUUUAGCUUCCUGAUGAUCUUUCUACAGGAGCUCAGGGUUGAGGGCUGGGACCCAUGCUGGGCUGGGUGGGGAAAGCCCUUUGGCACUUUGGCACAGUGCUUCCUUGGGAAUAUUUAGAGGCAGAACACAAGGUGGGACAAGAGAGAGCUGCAGAACAUUGAGAGAGCAACAAGAGUAGGCAAAGUUGAGGGGCUGUGGGAAGGCAGGGACAGGCAAUCGGAAGACCACGUGCUGUACGGGAAGAUAGGACCUCCUCUCUCUCCUGGUUUGUUGCGUAAGCAGACGGAAGUGAUGUAACCCCAGGUUAUAUAAGGCUGUGAAACCUGGAAAUAAACACCAUUUUACCGUCCACCAAAUUGGUGUCUGUGAGUGACUGGCCCGAGCAGCCUGAGGUGGCUGCCGUGCCGUUCCCGAACCAGGUUGCCCAGCCUCAGUGGAGGCAACAAGUGGUGCUGAAACCCAGGAAUACGGGGGAUGGGAUUUCGCCUGGACGGGUGAACGGCAGCUGGAGCAGCGGGACCAGCCCGGCAGGGAGGACACUCCCGGACCAGCGAGAAGAAUGGAAGCCUUCGCAAAGACCGUCUCCAAGCGGCAAUUGACUCUUCUACCUUGCCUGCAGAAGCGAAGGGCCCAGUGGCGCUAGAAUGCCUACGCCAGCAAUGCAACUCAGCAACCAAAGAAAUUUUAUGAUCAUUACCAGCCAGAGCGAGCCUUGCAACUAUGAUCAAACAUGUCACAAAAGAGGAAUAUCUAAUCCCAAUCCAGGUGGCUGUGUGUACCUGAUAGCCAAUUUGCAACUCCUGGCUCGCUCAAAUGCCCCUGCAGCAAAAUUGACCAAGAGGACCAUGUUGGGCCUGCGGGAAGAGGGGACACUUUGCAAAGGCCUAAGAGGAAGCGUUGUAGGUGGGGUCCAGUCUGGAUCAGGAAGUGCUUGGGAGCAGCUGCGGCGUGGAUGGGCCGUGCCCUUGGAGCAGGCUGAGGACAUCGUUUGGGACCAGCUUUUCUUCCAGCCCUGGAUGGUGUGAGCUGGGCUCUGCGGGUGCUGAGGCCGCUCUGGGCUCUGCCAGGGCUCUGCUGAAGCUCAGCACUGGGCCGGAAUCAGCCGAAGAAGAAAUGGUGUCACCUGCAGCACAGACUUGCUUGAGCAUUUUGGCAACACAGCUCAAGUUUGCAGAGUGGACACCUCCAAGGGAAAACAUGACACUCCAGAAGAUUUAAACUUGUUCAAUAACUUGUGAAAUCAAAUCAAUCUGGGAUGACCUGAAUGACAUUUUUCAGCUUCCUUGAGCUGUAGCUCAACCCUUCUCUGAACAGUUCUCUCCCCCACCUGCCUUUUACUUCCCAGAUGCUCCCUUAUUUCCCCCACUGAAUUCUCUGCCUGUUGCAGUCUCCAUCACACUGGUGCCUUCCUUGAUGCCCCUCUGUCCUGGAUUGGGGC
Long non-coding RNA from Passer montanus (Eurasian tree sparrow), 5300 nucleotides. RefSeq lists it as uncharacterized. Lineage: Eukaryota; Metazoa; Chordata; Aves; Passeriformes; Passeridae. The record is from RefSeq and is a predicted model, not a curated record. The transcript has 4 exons.